GAUGAACGCUGGCGGCGUGCCUAAUACAUGCAAGUCGAGCGAACAGACGAGGAGCUUGCUCCUCUGACGUUAGCGGCGGACGGGUGAGUAACACGUGGAUAACCUACCUAUAAGACUGGGAUAACUUCGGGAAACCGGAGCUAAUACCGGAUAAUAUAUUGAACCGCAUGGUUUAAUAGUGAAAGACGGUUUUGCUGUAACUUAUAGAUGGAUCCGCGCCGCAUUAGCUAGUUGGUAAGGUAACGGCUUACCAAGGCGACGAUGCGUAGCCGACCUGAGAGGGUGAUCGGCCACACUGGAACUGAGACACGGUCCAGACUCCUACGGGAGGCAGCAGUAGGGAAUCUUCCGCAAUGGGCGAAAGCCUGACGGAGCAACGCCGCGUGAGUGAUGAAGGUCUUCGGAUCGUAAAACUCUGUUAUUAGGGAAGAACAAAUGUGUAAGUAACUAUGCACGUCUUGACGGUACCUAAUCAGAAAGCCACGGCUAACUACGUG
RNAcentral lists this ribosomal RNA (497 nucleotides) under uncultured bacterium. Its description in RNAcentral is "partial 16S ribosomal RNA". It matches the Rfam family "Bacterial small subunit ribosomal RNA", at positions 28 to 507 of the family's 1533-position model. The record is from RNAcentral.